GGGUUGUGAGGUUAAGCGACUAAGCGUACACGGUGGAUGCCCUGGCAGUCAGAGGCGAUGAAGGACGUGCUAAUCUGCGAUAAGCGUCGGUAAGGUGAUAUGAACCGUUAUAACCGGCGAUUUCCGAAUGGGGAAACCCAGUGUGAUUCGUCACACUAUCGUUAAGUGAAUACAUAGCUUAACGAAGCGAACCGGGGGAACUGAAACAUCUAAGUACCCGAGGAAAAGAAAUCAACCGAGAUUCCCCCAGUAGCGGCGAGCGAACGGGGAGGAGCCCAGAGUCUGAAUCAGCGCGUGUGUUAGUGGAACGGUCUGGAAAGUCCGGCGGUACAGGGUGAUAGCCCCGUACACUAAAAUGCACACGUUGUGAACUCGAAGAGUAGGGCGGGACACGUGGUAUCCUGUCUGAAUAUGGGGGGACCAUCCUCCAAGGCUAAAUACUCCUGACUGACCGAUAGUGAACCAGUACCGUGAGGGAAAGGCGAAAAGAACCCCGGCGAGGGGAGUGAAAAAGAACCUGAAACCGUGUACGUACAAGCAGUGGGAGCCUCUUUAUGGGGUGACUGCGUACCUUUUGUAUAAUGGGUCAGCGACUUAUAUUCUGUAGCAAGGUUAACCGUAUAGGGGAGCCGCAGGGAAACCGAGUCUUAACUGGGCGUUAAGUUGCAGGGUAUAGACCCGAAACCCGGUGAUCUAGCCAUGGGCAGGUUGAAGGUUGGGUAACACUAACUGGAGGACCGAACCGACUAAUGUUGAAAAAUUAGCGGAUGACUUGUGGCUGGGGGUGAAAGGCCAAUCAAACCGGGAGAUAGCUGGUUCUCCCGAAAGCUAUUUAGGUAGCGCCUCGUGAACUCAUCUUCGGGGGUAGAGCACUGUUUCGGCUAGGGGGUCAUCCCGACUUACCAACCCGAUGCAAACUACGAAUACCGAAGAAUGUUAUCACGGGAGACACACGGCGGGUGCUAACGUCCGUCGUGAAGAGGGAAACAACCCAGACCGCCAGCUAAGGUCCCAAAGUCAUGGUUAAGUGGGAAACGAUGUGGGAAGGCACAGACAGCCAGGAUGUUGGCUUAGAAGCAGCCAUCAUUUAAAGAAAGCGUAAUAGCUCACUGGUCGAGUCGGCCUGCGCGGAAGAUGUAACGGGGCUAAACCAUGCACCGAAGCUGCGGCAGCGACACUAUGUGUUGUUGGGUAGGGGAGCGUUCUGUAAGCCGUUGAAGGUGGCCUGUGAGGGUUGCUGGAGGUAUCAGAAGUGCGAAUGCUGACAUAAGUAACGAUAAAGCGGGUGAAAAGCCCGCUCGCCGGAAGACCAAGGGUUCCUGUCCAACGUUAAUCGGGGCAGGGUGAGUCGACCCCUAAGGCGAGGCCGAAAGGCGUAGUCGAUGGGAAACAGGUUAAUAUUCCUGUACUCGGUGUUACUGCGAAGGGGGGACGGAGAAGGCUAUGUUAGCCGGGCGACGGUUGUCCCGGUUUAAGCAUGUAGGCGGAGGUUCCAGGUAAAUCCGGUACCUUUUUUAACGCUGAGGUGUGAUGACGAGGCACUACGGUGCUGAAGUAACAAAUGCCCUGCUUCCAGGAAAAGCCUCUAAGCAUCAGGUAACAACGAAUCGUACCCCAAACCGACACAGGUGGUCAGGUAGAGAAUACCAAGGCGCUUGAGAGAACUCGGGUGAAGGAACUAGGCAAAAUGGUGCCGUAACUUCGGGAGAAGGCACGCUGAUGGUAGGUGAAGUGACUUGCUCAUGGAGCUGAAAUCAGUCGAAGAUACCAGCUGGCUGCAACUGUUUAUUAAAAACACAGCACUGUGCAAACACGAAAGUGGACGUAUACGGUGUGACGCCUGCCCGGUGCCGGAAGGUUAAUUGAUGGGGUUAUCCGUAAGGAGAAGCUCUUGAUCGAAGCCCCGGUAAACGGCGGCCGUAACUAUAACGGUCCUAAGGUAGCGAAAUUCCUUGUCGGGUAAGUUCCGACCUGCACGAAUGGCGUAAUGAUGGCCAGGCUGUCUCCACCCGAGACUCAGUGAAAUUGAACUCGCUGUGAAGAUGCAGUGUACCCGCGGCAAGACGGAAAGACCCCGUGAACCUUUACUAUAGCUUGACACUGAACAUUGAGCCUUGAUGUGUAGGAUAGGUGGGAGGCUUUGAAGCGUGGACGCCAGUCUGCGUGGAGCCAACCUUGAAAUACCACCCUUUAAUGUUUGAUGUUCUAACGUAGACCCGUGAUCCGGGUUGCGGACAGUGUCUGGUGGGUAGUUUGACUGGGGCGGUCUCCUCCCAAAGAGUAACGGAGGAGCACGAAGGUUAGCUAAUCCUGGUCGGACAUCAGGAGGUUAGUGCAAUGGCAUAAGCUAGCUUGACUGCGAGCGUGACGGCGCGAGCAGGUGCGAAAGCAGGUCAUAGUGAUCCGGUGGUUCUGAAUGGAAGGGCCAUCGCUCAACGGAUAAAAGGUACUCCGGGGAUAACAGGCUGAUACCGCCCAAGAGUUCAUAUCGACGGCGGUGUUUGGCACCUCGAUGUCGGCUCAUCACAUCCUGGGGCUGAAGUAGGUCCCAAGGGUAUGGCUGUUCGCCAUUUAAAGUGGUACGCGAGCUGGGUUUAGAACGUCGUGAGACAGUUCGGUCCCUAUCUGCCGUGGGCGCUGGAGAAUUGAGGGGGGCUGCUCCUAGUACGAGAGGACCGGAGUGGACGCAUCACUGGUGUUCGGGUUGUCAUGCCAAUGGCAUUGCCCGGUAGCUAAAUGCGGAAAAGAUAAGUGCUGAAAGCAUCUAAGCACGAAACUUGCCCCGAGAUGAGUUCUCCCUGACUCCUUGAGAGUCCUGAAGGAACGUUGAAGACGACGACGUUGAUAGGUCGGGUGUGUAAGCGUAGCGAUACGUUGAGCUAACCGAUACUAAUGAACCGUGAGGCUUAACCUUACAACGCCGAAGCUGUU
Molecule: ribosomal RNA, 2931 nt
Filed under: Klebsiella planticola
Lineage: Bacteria; Pseudomonadati; Pseudomonadota; Gammaproteobacteria; Enterobacterales; Enterobacteriaceae
Description: bacterial LSU rRNA
Rfam family: Bacterial large subunit ribosomal RNA
Source: RNAcentral